UUGCACAGGUGCUGCAUGGCUGUCGUCAGCUCGUGUCGUGAGAUGUUCGUUAAGUCCGCUAACGAGCGCAACCCUCGCUGUGUGUUACAAGUGUCACACGGUACUGCCGGUCUUAAGCCGGAGGAAGGUGGGGAUGACGUCAAGUCAGCAUGGCCUUUAUGUCCUGGGCUACACACACGCUACAAUGGCCAACACAAUAGGUUGCUAAGCCGCGAGGUGGAGCCAAUCCUCAAAGUUGGUCUCAGUUCAGAUUGCAGGCUGCAACCCGCCUGCAUGAAGAUGGAGUUGCUAGUAACCGCAGGUCAGCUAUACUGCGGUGAAUACGUUCCCGGGGCUU
This 337-nucleotide ribosomal RNA is filed under the name uncultured Leptolinea sp. RNAcentral describes it as "bacterial SSU rRNA". It matches the Rfam family "Bacterial small subunit ribosomal RNA", at positions 1030 to 1382 of the family's 1533-position model. Lineage: Bacteria; Bacillati; Chloroflexota; Anaerolineae; Anaerolineales; Anaerolineaceae. The record is from RNAcentral.